Molecule: long non-coding RNA, 719 nt
Filed under: Chinchilla lanigera (long-tailed chinchilla)
Lineage: Eukaryota; Metazoa; Chordata; Mammalia; Rodentia; Chinchillidae
Description: lncRNA (ENSCLAG00000022485.1)
Source: RNAcentral
GGGAGAUGGUGGGCGCUGGGUGGUCCUAAGAGCUUUUCUUUCUCUGAGCCUCCUGUAGCCUCUGAAGGCCCUGCCAGAGCCCCGAGCUUGGGAGGAGCCCCCCAGAUCAGGAAGCAGUCACUGGCCAGGGCUCACCUUCCCUGCGCUCCUGCAUCCCUGGCCCCCAGUGCCAGCUCUUAAGAGAGCGUGGAAAGCCGGGGCAGGUCUUCCUCAGGUUCUCUUUGAUACUGGGGGAGGCCUUGCUCGCUCCAAGGGGAUGGCGGCUCAGCUCCUGUCUGCAAACACACAGGACACGGUGGAGCUCUUGGGCCGCCUGCUCGAGCUGCCUCCCCACGGCUCCAGGAGGAGCUGCUUAACUGGCUGUUGAAGCCUAGCCCAAGGUCAGAGCCGCCCGGCCUGUGCCCACAUGGGUACCAUCUCAGGGGGUCUUGCCAGGCCCGGGGGCUCAGCAGGGAGGAGUUUCACCCCAGCCUCCUAGCAAAGGUGGUUGUCGACCUUUGGCCUUCAAAGCAGGAACCCAUGUAAACCUAGGUCCCUGGAGUCCCAAUCUGGGCUUCAGACAAAGCCCCUGACUCUGUCUCUAAACACAUAUUCAUGGGGCAACAAGGAGCUUAGAAAUAGGGGCAGGAAAAAAAAUAAAAAAGGAAAGAAAUAGGGGCAGAGCCUCCGCUCCGUCGCUGUCCGCUUUGUGAUUGUCACUCGUCACUUGCCCAGGGCCG